Molecule: ribosomal RNA, 534 nt
Filed under: uncultured bacterium
Lineage: Bacteria
Description: bacterial SSU rRNA
Rfam family: Bacterial small subunit ribosomal RNA
Source: RNAcentral
CGGCCUUGACAUACUAAGAACUUUCCAGAGAUGGAUUGGUGCCUUCGGGAACUUAGAUACAGGUGCUGCAUGGCUGUCGUCAGCUCGUGUCGUGAGAUGUUGGGUUAAGUCCCGCAACGAGCGCAACCCUUUUCCUUAUUUGCCAGCGGGUCAUGCCGGGAACUUUAAGGAUACUGCCAGUGACAAACUGGAGGAAGGCGGGGACGACGUCAAGUCAUCAUGGCCCUUACGGCCAGGGCUACACACGUGCUACAAUGGUCGGUACAAAGGGUUGCUACCUCGCGAGAGGAUGCUAAUCUCAAAAAGCCGAUCGUAGUCCGGAUCGCAGUCUGCAACUCGACUGCGUGAAGUCGGAAUCGCUAGUAAUCGCGGAUCAGAAUGCCGCGGUGAAUACGUUCCCGGGCCUUGUACACACCGCCCGUCACACCAUGGGAGUUUGUUGCACCAGAAGUAGGUAGUCUAACCGCAAGGAGGACGCUUACCACGGUGUGGCCGAUGACUGGGGUGAAGUCGUAACAAGGUAGGCGUAGAUGA